AUGUCCCUCCGCUGCCGCUGCAAGUCCCGCUGCCGCCGUCUUCUGCAUCGACAUGGGUAUACUGCUGCCUCUGUUCUUCAGAGACGAGCAGCUUGCGCGCCCUGCGUUGACUCCUCGUCUCGUGGAUCCAGCCGGCCUCGUUCCGAUCCCAAGCCCAGCGCCUCCCCAACCCACAUGUGCAGUCUCCGCGUGGCCCAGAUCCGCCAAACCAGGCCUUGGGCCGCCUUCCCACGCCGGCCUGCUCCACACCAUUGUCCCGCGUGGGCUACUCCCCCUCAACGACCCGAUUUGGCCCAAAGUGAGCGGCCCCUCUCCACUCCCUCUCCUGUACACUAUCGGGCCAACCAGAUUCGGCCCAAUGUGUUUUUUCCCUUGUCUGUGAUUUUAGCAAUUAAUCCUGAGACAACAGUUUUGCAGAAACACCCUUGA
This 429-nucleotide ribosomal RNA is filed under the name Triticum aestivum (bread wheat). RNAcentral describes it as "partial small subunit ribosomal RNA". Lineage: Eukaryota; Viridiplantae; Streptophyta; Magnoliopsida; Poales; Poaceae. The record is from RNAcentral.